CAUCCCAACCUGUGUGGGAGACAGUCUUGAAGACAAAGGUGAACAGCCAACAUGCAUCUGCUAAGUACGCUCCUGUUUGUGCGCUUGUUCCCCCUUGUCUACACACUUUCGGGGACAGACGGCCUUGAGCGGAUGGGGAACUGCACUACUGUGGAUGGCAUCACCUGUAACAUUACAAAUGAGACAAAUGCAGAUAGUUUGUGUACACCAGGUUGGACAGGACCUGACUGCAAUGAAUCCUGUGGAUUUGGAACCUUUGGUGCCAACUGUAGUGGAGUAUGUAACUGUGGUUCUGGAACCUGUGAUCCAGUUGGAGGAAACUGUACUGGUGGGAUCUGUGCUGCAGGAUGGCAGGGAGAGACAUGCA
Molecule: long non-coding RNA, 367 nt
Organism: Branchiostoma floridae (Florida lancelet)
Lineage: Eukaryota; Metazoa; Chordata; Leptocardii; Amphioxiformes; Branchiostomatidae
Exons: 3
Source: RefSeq, a predicted model, not a curated record